This 320-nucleotide ribosomal RNA is filed under the name uncultured eukaryote. Its description in RNAcentral is "partial 18S ribosomal RNA". It matches the Rfam family "Eukaryotic small subunit ribosomal RNA", at positions 1470 to 1796 of the family's 1831-position model. The record is from RNAcentral.
CCCCUAGAUGUUCUGGGCCGCACGCGCGCUACACUGAACAGUUCAACAAGUCUUAACCUUGGCCGAUAGGUCUGGGUAAUCUUUGAACGCUGUUCGUGAUUGGGAUAGACCUUUGCAAUUAUGGGUCUUCAACGAGGAAUUCCUAGUAAACGCAAGUCAUCAGCUUGCAUUUAUUACGUCCCUGCCCUUUGUACACACCGCCCGUCGCACCUACCGAUUGAAUGGUCCGGUGAAAUCUCGGGACGGCGGCUUGGUCGCUUGCGUCCGACUGCUGAAACUUGAUUAAACCAUAUCAUUUAGAGGAAGGUGAAGUCGUANCA